This 909-nucleotide long non-coding RNA is filed under the name Cricetulus griseus (Chinese hamster). RNAcentral's name for it is "lncRNA (ENSCGRG00015028976.1)". Lineage: Eukaryota; Metazoa; Chordata; Mammalia; Rodentia; Cricetidae. The record is from RNAcentral.
CAACUCGUGGGCAUAUAUGGGAAGCCACAUCUCCACACCAUUAUCCCAGCCUGGAGAUGAAGUUCAGACAUCUUUGUAGGAGGAGGAACCUGUCUACAUGGGAUUGCAUAAGGUUAACUCGGAAGCAGCGACUGCACUGAGCACCAGACUGGAUUUUCAUAUCAUUGGAACAGGACAGGCUGGCAUCUCCCAGUGUUGAGACUGCAACAAUGCACAGCCAAGUGUCAUGGAUGUUUUCACUUAGCAAUCAGUACUGGGGAUUGAACCGGGAAUCCUAUAUGCGCUAAGCAAAGCACCCUACCGCAGAGCUGCAUUGCAGUAGUGAGUGGGAAGUCGCUAAAGAUGGACCCUUCUUACAAGUCUCAGUUCAGGAAGAGCACAGCAGGGAAGCUACAUGGAAGUAACUUGGAAUCCCCUAUAAGAAAAUACUGGUCAUCAAACAUCUAUUAAACAAGUGCCCCGGACUAUAAAUCCCCACCCCAAGCCAGCUUUGAAAAGGCCAAGUGUGAACAGAAGAGAUUGCUGAACAAAUGGACUGAGAGCAGAAAAGCACACCAGCAAGAACUGCAUAGCUCCCGGUUUCCUUCUUGAUCCCACUGACGUGUCUGGCACAGUCCUCACACUGUGGAUGCUGGCUCGGUGUCACCAGUACUGACUCUGCCUACUUUCUUCUGGACAAACAAGGAGAAAAUAGAAGGGAAGAAUGGAGAUUCAAAUCACUCAUGUGAGAGUGUCUUGGAAUCAUGCUGCUGGGGAUGAGAUGAGUUCUGAAAAGGGAUGGCACAGAUGCAAUGGAAGGAAUGGGGGGGUGGAGUUCAAAAAUUAAAUGGAGAUGACCAUGUAUGGAGGUUCACGCCCAACAUACCCGUCUUGACAAACUCAAGAUAGGCUUGGAUUAUGUAAUGAAAC